Molecule: long non-coding RNA, 729 nt
Filed under: Prunus persica (peach)
Lineage: Eukaryota; Viridiplantae; Streptophyta; Magnoliopsida; Rosales; Rosaceae
Description: long non-coding RNA (PPER_LNC007858)
Source: RNAcentral
AGAGAUAUAGGGGGGCCUUUGACUAAGGAAGAGAGGGAGAGAUGGAAAUAGAGAAUGGGGUGUCUUGAGUAAAUUUCCAAUUGCUGACAAAAGCUUGGUCGCACUCUUGGAUCGUGUGUUUGCUGGGUUGAAGGUGCCUCCUUUUAUAGGCACUGGAACCCUCAAUUUUAUCAAGUCUCCCUCUCCCCUUUUCCUUCACUUUCUUCCAUUCAACCUUAUUUGGUGAAACUUUCCCAGCUCGUGUGCAUAUGCACAAAGCUUUUUGAGUUCCAAGAUCUUCACGUAGCUGGACUUUUUCAUGUGGGUGAGGUGCCACCCACUUUUCUUCUUGGUUUUCUUAUUUGAUCCUGCAAAAGAAAUAAAAAUGGGUAAGGGCGUCAAUCUAAUGGGUAUUCCUCCUGCACAUGUGAAUUUCCUUUGGUUUUUGCAGUGGCUUACCAUUGCACUUGGUUCUAAGACUUUUGACAACGCUAAAUACGAUGCUAGAUAUUUUAUAAGGUGCUGGGCUGGGCUUUUUCAUAAGGUAUUGGGAUAUGGGCAUUUUAUUUCCAGCGGCCUACGAGCUUGCCCUGGUUUCGUCAAGCUGCUGAAGUAGCUUAUUUGCUUUAUUUUUUGACAAGGUGUUGUAUGUCUUAGCUGAUGUGAGACUUUUCUAAGUGUUGCAAACCAUUGGAUAUUCUCCUAAGGCAUUGGGCCACUUCUCUCUCUCUUUCUCUCUUUCUUGUUUAC